RNAcentral lists this signal recognition particle RNA (100 nucleotides) under Lachnospiraceae bacterium. RNAcentral describes it as "signal recognition particle sRNA small type". It matches the Rfam family "Bacterial small signal recognition particle RNA". From Rfam's summary of the family: The signal recognition particle (SRP) is a universally conserved ribonucleoprotein involved in the co-translational targeting of proteins to membranes. Lineage: Bacteria; Bacillati; Bacillota; Clostridia; Lachnospirales; Lachnospiraceae. The record is from RNAcentral.
AAGCGGGUCCAAUGCAACAGAAAUCUGUGAACCGUGUCAGGUCGGGAACGAAGCAGCACUAAGCAGAACCUUCUGUGUGACGUUGGGUCGCCUGCUUCUU